CAAAAAUCAGCGGCGGACGGGUGAGUAACACGUGGGCAACCUGCCUGUAAGAACUGGGAUAACUUUCGGGAAACCGGAGCUAAUACCGGAUAGGUUCUUCCCUCACAUGAGGGAAGAUGGAAAGACGGUUUCGGCUGUCACUUACAGAUGGGCCCGCGGCGCAUUAGCUAGUUGGUGAGGUAACGGCUCACCAAGGCGACGAUGCGUAGCCGACCUGAGAGGGUGAUCGGCCACACUGGGACUGAGACACGGCCCAGACUCCUACGGGAGGCAGCAGUAGGGAAUCUUCCGCAAUGGACGAAAGUCUGACGGAGCAACGCCGCGUGAGCGAAGAAGGCCUUCGGGUCGUAAAGCUCUGUUAUCAGGGAAGAACAAGUACCGGAGUAACUGCCGGUACCUUGACGGUACCUGAUCAGAAAGCCACGGCUAACUACGUGCCAGCAGCCGCGGUAAUACGUAGGUGGCAAGCGUUGUCCGGAAUUAUUGGGCGUAAAGCGCGC
Molecule: ribosomal RNA, 500 nt
Filed under: Bacillus sp. CSu4_1
Lineage: Bacteria; Bacillati; Bacillota; Bacilli; Caryophanales; Bacillaceae
Description: bacterial SSU rRNA
Rfam family: Bacterial small subunit ribosomal RNA
Source: RNAcentral